RNAcentral lists this ribosomal RNA (484 nucleotides) under uncultured bacterium. Its description in RNAcentral is "partial 16S ribosomal RNA". It matches the Rfam family "Bacterial small subunit ribosomal RNA", at positions 30 to 507 of the family's 1533-position model. The record is from RNAcentral.
AUUGAACGCUGGCGGCAGGCCUAACACAUGCAAGUCGAGCGGAUGAAGGGAGCUUGCUCCUGGAUUCAGCGGCGGACGGGUGAGUAAUGCCUAGGAAUCUGCCUGGUAGUGGGGGAUAACGUCCGGAAACGGGCGCUAAUACCGCAUACGUCCUGAGGGAGAAAGUGGGGGAUCUUCGGACCUCACGCUAUCAGAUGAGCCUAGGUCGGAUUAGCUAGUUGGUGGGGUAAAGGCCUACCAAGGCGACGAUCCGUAACUGGUCUGAGAGGAUGAUCAGUCACACUGGAACUGAGACACGGUCCAGACUCCUGCGGGAGGCAGCAGUGGGGAAUAUUGGACAAUGGGCGAAAGCCUGAUCCAGCCAUGCCGCGUGUGUGAAGAAGGUCUUCGGAUUGUAAAGCACUUUAAGUUGUGAGGAAGGGCAGUAAGUUAAUACCUUGCUGUUUUGACGUUACCAACAGAAUAAGCACCGGCUAACUUCGUG